Molecule: ribosomal RNA, 323 nt
Filed under: uncultured eukaryote
Lineage: Eukaryota
Description: partial 18S ribosomal RNA
Rfam family: Eukaryotic small subunit ribosomal RNA
Source: RNAcentral
UCCUUAGAUGUUCUGGGCCGCACGCGCGCUACACUGAUGCAUGCAACGAGUUCUAUCCUUGGCCGGAAGGCCUGGGUAAUCUGUGAACGUGCAUCGUGAUAGGGAUAGAUUAUUGCAAUUAUUAAUCUUGAACGAGGAAUUCCUAGUAAACGCAAGUCAUCAGCUUGCAUUGAUUACGUCCCUGCCCUUUGUACACACCGCCCGUCGCACCUACCGAUCGAAGGUAAUGAUGAGCCCUCAGGAUUGUGGCCUCGUCGCGUCAGCGUCUUGGCUGCGAGAAUCUGUGCAAAUCCCUACCUUUAGAGGAAGGUGAAGUCGUAACA